RNAcentral lists this ribosomal RNA (1573 nucleotides) under Sus philippensis (Philippine warty pig). RNAcentral's name for it is "16S ribosomal RNA". It matches the Rfam family "Bacterial large subunit ribosomal RNA". Lineage: Eukaryota; Metazoa; Chordata; Mammalia; Artiodactyla; Suidae. The record is from RNAcentral.
ACCAAAGCUAGCUCAACAUACUAAACAAAUACAAAAAUACACCAAAAUAAAAUAAAACAUUCACCUAAUAUUAAAGUAUAGGAGAUAGAAAUUUUUAUCCUGACGCUAUAGAGAUAGUACCGUAAGGGAAAGAUGAAAGAAUAAAAUAAAAGUAAAAAUAAGCAAAGAUUACCCCUUCUACCUUUUGCAUAAUGGUUUAACCAGAAAAAAUCUAACAAAGAGAACUUUAGCUAGAUACCCCGAAACCAGACGAGCUACCUAUGAGCAGUUUAAAAGAACCAACUCAUCUAUGUGGCAAAAUAGUGAGAAGACUUGUAGGUAGGGGUGAAAAGCCUAACGAGCCUGGUGAUAGCUGGUUGUCCGAGAAAGAAUUUUAGUUCAACCUUAAAAAUACCCCAAAAACCCUAAAUUCCAAUGUAUUUUUAAGAGAUAAUCUAAAAAGGUACAGCUUUUUAGAAACGGAUACAACCUUGACUAGAGAGUAAAAUCUUAAUAUUACCAUAGUAGGCCUAAAAGCAGCCAUCAAUUGAGAAAGCGUUAAAGCUCAACAAAUCCACCAACAUAAUCCCAAAAACUAAUAAUAAACUCCUAGCCCAAUACCGGACUAAUCUAUUGAAACAUAGAAGCAAUAAUGUUAAUAUGAGUAACAAGAAACCUUUCUCCUUGCACACGCUUACAUCAGUAACUAAUAAUAUACUGAUAAUUAACAAUCAAUAAACCAAAACAACACUAAAACGUUUAUUAAUUAUAUUGUUAACCCAACACAGGAGUGCACCAAGGAAAGAUUAAAAGAAGUAAAAGGAACUCGGCAAACACAAACCCCGCCUGUUUACCAAAAACAUCACCUCUAGCAUUACUAGUAUUAGAGGCAAUGCCUGCCCAGUGACACCAGUUUAACGGCCGCGGUAUUCUGACCGUGCAAAGGUAGCAUAAUCACUUGUUCUCCAAAUAAGGACUUGUAUGAAUGGCCACACGAGGGUUUUACUGUCUCUUACUUCCAAUCAGUGAAAUUGACCUUCCCGUGAAGAGGCGGGAAUAAAAAAAUAAGACGAGAAGACCCUAUGGAGCUUUAAUUAACUAUUCCAAAAGUUAAACAAUUCAACCACAAAGGGAUAAAACAUAACUUAACAUGGAUUAGCAAUUUCGGUUGGGGUGACCUCGGAGUACAAAAAACCCUCCGAAUGAUUUUAAUCUAGACAAACCAGUCAAAAUAACCACAACAUCACUUAUUGAUCCAAAACUUUGAUCAACGGAACAAGUUACCCUAGGGAUAACAGCGCAAUCCUAUUCUAGAGUUCCUAUCGACAAUAGGGUUUACGACCUCGAUGUUGGAUCAGGACACCCAAAUGGUGCAACCGCUAUUAAAGGUUCGUUUGUUCAACGAUUAAAGUCCUACGUGAUCUGAGUUCAGACCGGAGCAAUCCAGGUCGGUUUCUAUCUAUUAUAAAUUUCUCCCAGUACGAAAGGACAAGAGAAAUGAGACCAACCUCACAAACGCGUCUCAGAGAUAAUUAAUGAUAUAAUCUUAACUUAAUUAACUCAUAACAAAUCCAGCCCUAGAACAGGGCACAUU